Molecule: ribosomal RNA, 495 nt
Filed under: uncultured bacterium
Lineage: Bacteria
Description: partial 16S ribosomal RNA
Rfam family: Bacterial small subunit ribosomal RNA
Source: RNAcentral
GACGAACGCUGGCGGCGUGCCUAAUACAUGCAAGUAGAACGCUGAAGGAGGAGCUUGCUCUUCUGGAUGAGUUGCGAACGGGUGAGUAACGCGUAGGUAACCUGCCUGGUAGCGGGGGAUAACUAUUGGAAACGAUAGCUAAUACCGCAUAACAGUAGAUGUUGCAUGACAUUUACUUAAAAGGUGCAAUUGCAUCACUACCAGAUGGACCUGCGUUGUAUCAGCUAGUUGGUGGGGUAACGGCCCACCAAGGCGACGAUACAUAGCCGACCUGGGAGGGGGGACGGCCAAACUGGGAAUGAGAACAGGCCCAAGACUCUACGGGAGGGAGCCGUAGGGGAACUUCGGCAAUGGACGGAAGUCUGACCGAGGAACGCCGCGUGAGUGAAGGAGGUUUUCGGAUCGUAAAGCUCUGUUGUAUGAGAAGAACGAGUGUGAGAGUGGAAAGUUCACACUGUGACGUUAUCUUACCAGAAAGGGACGGCUAACUACGUG